Molecule: long non-coding RNA, 515 nt
Organism: Tupaia belangeri chinensis (Chinese tree shrew)
Lineage: Eukaryota; Metazoa; Chordata; Mammalia; Scandentia; Tupaiidae
Exons: 3
Source: RefSeq, a predicted model, not a curated record
UACUCACUUCCCAGGUGGGAGGUUGGGUGUUCGCCUCCUGCUGCAGCCGUGCAAGUCGCCAUCAGCCUAGCACGAAAAUGACACACGUGUGUUUUGUAUCGUUCCGGAGCUCGGAGGCCUCAAGUCAAGGCAGGACUUUAUCCCUCCUGGAGGCUUCCGGGGAGAAUCUGCUUCCUCGUCUUACCUAGCAUCUCGAAGCCACGGUGUUCCUCACGGCCCUUCCUCCUUCUGCGGGCAUCUGUCCUACCUGGCGUCCUUUGUCCCAGAAGCCUUGGAGCAAGCAGUUCCACGGGAGUGCGGGUGAGCGAGGUUCCUUUAAAGGGCCAUGUCGGGGAGACGCACAGGGCUCACCUCCAGGCCCCUCAGACCCGGCUUCCCACACCCUGGUUGGACCCCCCAGGCCUCCCACCCACCGCCUGAGCAGAGGACGGGGAGGAGAGCUGUCACUCCUCCCCCGCAUGUGCCUAUGACACAGUGACAUGCCAGGGGACAGUAAGAUGUGACUGUCAGGGAAC